UACACUUUCUCAAUUUCUGACAGGUUGCACAACAGCACUGCUUUGAUUUUUUUUUUUUUACUGUUUUCACUGAUUAGCAUGUCCAUUCAGCCACUUUCUAUCCUACAAUAUUAAAGCCAUAUUCUACCUUCUGUUUUCAAGAUUCCUUUGCUUAUAUGUAACCAUGGGGUUACCCAUGGUGGCGGUGGCGAAGCUCAACCUCCUAUUAUCUAACUCCCACACCGGAGCCUCCUUGGUUACUUUCCUGCUAUUCCCUUACGUGCUUAAACUCACGUUCACUGUCAGGCUUUUUCGUCGAGCUUACACCGGUCUGCUCCACUCAUCCAGGCUCUUCUUAUUUCAGUUGAGCCAAAUCGCCUUCGAUACUGAUCAACCUGCUCCGGUAGGCAAUGAUAGCACCAGACUGAGGAGAGCUCUGAGGUUAAUAUAUCAGAGAGUAACAAGAACAAGAAGGUCACAAACCACACAAGAUGAUGAGGAUAAUUUCAAUGCCCUCUCCAUGUUUUCUCUCUAGUCAAGUAAUGGUAAUGGAAAAAGCUUGCGCGUACCUCGACUAAUCUCACAGAUCCUGAAGUUAACGACCAUGUAAGUUUCCAGUGGCCAUCAUAUUAGCAACCACAAGACUACAACCUGAGACCACAGAGAAGCAAACCUUUUAAUCCCAAGUUUUUACCACUAGGUCAUCUAUUAGAUAGUUAUCUCAACUUAUUAUACCAUGUGUUAGUUCAUUUAAUAAUUUUUUUAAAAUGUUAUGUUUUACAAUAAUA
Molecule: long non-coding RNA, 767 nt
Organism: Populus nigra (black poplar)
Lineage: Eukaryota; Viridiplantae; Streptophyta; Magnoliopsida; Malpighiales; Salicaceae
Exons: 2
Source: RefSeq, a predicted model, not a curated record